RNAcentral lists this ribosomal RNA (497 nucleotides) under uncultured bacterium. Its description in RNAcentral is "partial 16S ribosomal RNA". It matches the Rfam family "Bacterial small subunit ribosomal RNA", at positions 28 to 507 of the family's 1533-position model. The record is from RNAcentral.
GAUGAACGCUGGCGGCGUGCCUAAUACAUGCAAGUCGAGCGAACGGACGAGAAGCUUGCUUCUCUAAUGUUAGCGGCGGACGGGUGAGUAACACGUGGAUAACCUACCUAUAAGACUGGGAUAACUACGGGAAACCGUAGCUAAUACCGGAUAAUAUUUUGAACCGCAUGGUUCAAAAGUGAAAGACGGUCUUGCUGUCACUUAUAGAUGGAUCCGCGCUGCAUUAGCUAGUUGGUAAGGUAACGGCCUACCAAGGCGACGAUGCAUAGCCGACCUGAGAGGAUGAUCAGCCACACUGGAACUGAGACACGGUCCAGACUCCUACGGGAGGCAGCAGUAGGGAAUCUUCGGCAAUGGGCGAAAGCCUGACGGAGCCACGCCGCGUGAGUGAUGAAGGUCUUCGGAUCGUAAAGCUCUGUUAUUAGGGAAGAACAUAUGUGUAAGUAACUGUGCACAUCUUGACGGUACCUAAUCAAAAAGCCACGGCUAACUACGUG